CAAGGAAUUUUCCCCAAUGGGCGCAAGCCUGAGGGAGCAACGCCGCGUGGAGGACGACGGCCUUCGGGUUGUAAACUCCUUUCGGGUGGGACGAUGCUGACGGUACCACCAGAAGCAGCCCCGGCUAACUCUGUGCCAGCAGCCGCGGUAAGACAGAGGGGGCAAGCGUUGUCCGGAGUUACUGGGCGUAAAGGGCGCGCAGGCGGUGGGCUGCGUCGGCGCUGAAAGCGCCCCGCUUAACGGGGCGAG
Molecule: ribosomal RNA, 249 nt
Filed under: uncultured bacterium
Lineage: Bacteria
Description: partial 16S ribosomal RNA
Rfam family: Bacterial small subunit ribosomal RNA
Source: RNAcentral